Molecule: ribosomal RNA, 465 nt
Filed under: Vreelandella stevensii
Lineage: Bacteria; Pseudomonadati; Pseudomonadota; Gammaproteobacteria; Oceanospirillales; Halomonadaceae
Description: partial 16S ribosomal RNA
Rfam family: Bacterial small subunit ribosomal RNA
Source: RNAcentral
CCUACGGGCGGCUGCAGUGGGGAAUAUUGGACAAUGGGCGAAAGCCUGAUCCAGCCAUGCCGCGUGUGUGAAGAAGGCCUUCGGGUUGUAAAGCACUUUCAGUGGGGAAGAAAGCCUUGGGGCUAAUACCCUCGAGGAAGGACAUCACCCACAGAAGAAGCACCGGCUAACUCCGUGCCAGCAGCCGCGGUAAUACGGAGGGUGCGAGCGUUAAUCGGAAUUACUGGGCGUAAAGCGCGCGUAGGCGGUCUGAUAAGCCGGUUGUGAAAGCCCCGGGCUCAACCUGGGAACGGCAUCCGGAACUGACAGGCUAGAGUGCAGGAGAGGAAGGUAGAAUUCCCGGUGUAGCGGUGAAAUGCGUAGAGAUCGGGAGGAAUACCAGUGGCGAAGGCGGCCUUCUGGACUGACACUGACGCUGAGGUGCGAAAGCGUGGGUAGCAAACAGGAUUAGAUACCCGAGUAGUC